RNAcentral lists this ribosomal RNA (253 nucleotides) under uncultured bacterium. Its description in RNAcentral is "partial 16S ribosomal RNA". It matches the Rfam family "Bacterial small subunit ribosomal RNA", at positions 524 to 776 of the family's 1533-position model. The record is from RNAcentral.
UACAGAGGUCCCAAGCGUUACUGAGAAUCACUGGGUUUAAAGGGUGCGUAGGUGGUCCGUUAAGUUCGUUGUGAAAUCCCCGGGCUCAACCUGGGAACUGCAUUUGUGACUGCACGGCUGGAGUGCGGCAGAGGGGGAUGGAAUUCCGCGUGUAGCAGUGAAAUGCGUAGAUAUGCGGAGGAACACCGAUGGCGAAGGCAAUCCCCUGGGCCUGCACUGACGCUCAUGCACGAAAGCGUGGGGAGCAAACAGG